CAGGGUCCGUAUGCACGACCGGCAGCGGGGUACGGCCACGUAGCGAGCGAGCGAGGCUACGUGUCUAGGAGGCCUCAUCUCGUAAGAGCCGUGAGACACUCGCGUGUUCCGUUAUGUGGAGGACAGCCAAGCGACUGGAGUUACAGAAGAGGAAGGGAGGAGAGAAGGAGAAAGAAGCGUCUGAGCUGGCAAGGUCUCCUGGCAGCUCCAAGAGCGAGAGCUGUGUUUUGACAGCAGUUGAUAUACAACCUUGUGGAAAGGCCAGACCGUUGCACGUAGCUGGAGCUUGUAAGGAGAAGCAGCUGAAAUCAGCCGGAGCUUCAGCGCGGAGCUGGGGCUUCAGCGAGCCAGAACUGUAGCAAGCGGGAGCUGGAACGAGGCUGGGGUGUCCGCUGUCUGGAGCGUGCAUUAGCCAGAGGCGAAAGUACCUGCGGCUGUAACGAGCAGGAGCCGCGAUUAGCUGGAGCGUCCGUCGGCCGGACCGCGCUCCCAGCACGGCCGAAGGGCGGCCGGGCGCAGGCAGGGCUGUCCGCAGCAAGCAGCUCCGAGCAGCAGGGAGGCGAGCCGUCCUUCUGCCGGCGGGGAGCCCGGCCUCUUCCCUCGGGGAUGCAAUCCGCGCCACGCUCCUCUCUCUGCGUGGAGGGUCUCGCCCGGUCCGUUCCCGCGGGCAGAAGCAAGGUGGGGGUCCCCCGGCUCUCCUGGGGCAGCCCCCCUGUGAGGGGGCGCGGGCGAGGUGUCGUCGUCCCCUCGGUACCGGGCAAAGGGGAGAGAAACGGGCCGGUGGGAGCUCCUGGGGUGCGGAGAGCCCUUCCGGCAGAAUCCUCCCCUGUCUUUUCACCGUUGGCUGGGUGCGACAAGCAGGUUCAUUUCUUUGUCUCCUCUUUUCCCAGCGUCACCUUCCGCGUCACACGAAGAAAAUCCCGCGUGGGUAAUUCCGCUUGCUGCUCAGCUGGAUGUCAGCUGGCACCGUUUCGCCGUGCUUGCCCUUUCUUCUGCCAUGACAAUACGAGACAGAUGGAAAGAAUCCAUAGUGGUCUGCAAGUACAAGGUACGUCUGUGAUGUGUGUCUGCGUUUUUCCAAAGGUACUUGCAGUAUGGACUUUAACAUUAAGAGUGUGCCAACUCUCCUUUUACAUUUUUUUACGUGAAAUAUUGUAACGCAAAUACUAAAAAUAAGUUCUGUUCUGGAGCAAGUUACACCUAUGCAAAGUUUACUUCCCUCCGUUUAUUUUCUCUUCCUGAAAGCAUAAUCUUCUGUUUCUGUGCACUUGCUAGUAAAUGAUAUAGUGAAAAUAAUUUUGUACUAAAAGAGGGAAGAAACUGUUCGUAAGAGUUCAGCUGUUCAGAAGAAACAGACUUUGUUUUCAUGAUAAAAGCUUUAUGCUUUUGCAGUCCAUGAGUUUUUUAAAAUAGCUUAUAGGAGUACUCGACAACCUUACUGAGAUAACUAGCAUCUGUGCUAAAAGCAAUCGAGGUCAAAGAAGAGACGUGGACAAAACAGGACAAAUUGGCGUCGCAUCUGUGUGUUUUCCAGGCUUUCCCAGGAAGCACUGGCAGCCCUGUAACUAGUGACAGUGAGUCCUGAUUGUUUUUGAUGAGUUACUGCUUCAGUAAUGUAUUUUUUCCUUUAACCUACAGCGUGUCAUUUUGACUUCAGUUGGAAAGAGAUUUUCCAAAAUGGAAGUCUUUGUCACUCAAAGAAAUUUUCUUUUAUGAACUUCCCAUCAGAGUGGAUCUUCAGAGGUGAUCGACUUGACAGUAGAAGUCAUCAGUAACAAGACUUUUCACUCUCUUUAAAAAGAGGGGGGGAAAAAAAAAAAAAAAGUCAAUUUCCUUCCAAAGACCCAAGCACAGCCCAUCUUCCUAAAGUUGAUGGCAUCGCUGGUCUUUGGUUUCUCAGUUGUAACAGUCGCGACAACAUGAAAAUGUGUUGCUCUGCGUGCUUCAGUACUGCCAAAAGCAUUAGGAAAUCCGCCAGUCCUUUUUGGUAGUCUGAGGUAUUGCAGCACUGGGGAUUUUACAAAUUGACCUGCAUUGUUUAAAGUGUAACUGCCAAAUAGCUGUAGUAUAUCAUUUAUGAGGUGUAUGUAAGCAGUUAGGUAUUUUUCUAAAUGUUUAAAAAGAGAGGCAACUGAAUGUUGUGGGUUUUCUUUCCUGACGUUUUGACGGAGUGCUCUGAAGUACUUUCUUUCUGUCUGGCUUUCAAUGGUGUGUUUCCCUGGCAGUUCAGUAGCACCUCUCUUGGGCAGCGCAGCUGGCCAGGUGUUCCUCCUCAUUACGUAACACACACAAAAACCCCCUAGUCACAUUAUAACUGUGUACUUUGGAGAUAGAUAAUUUAACGGUAGGAAUUCAGAGCUGUGCAAGUUAAGGUAAUGCAAAAGGAAAAUCAAAUACUUUUACAGUAUAAGUAUUCUUAUUGGAUGUAUAUAAACGUGGGCACACCCUUUGAGUGUAAAGUGAAUUAUUGAGAUUUAUUCUUUAUUUUUCAUUUUGCUCUUUGAAGUUUUCCACUUCACUUUCAGCUUUAUUCACCAAACAAGCAAGAUGCAAAGCAGCAGCAGCAGCGCAAGGGCUGUAGCUGUUGCGGUGGAUCCGUAAGCAUAGAUUCUGAUUGUGUACGACCUCGUCCCGCAGCCUCCCGGGGUUCUCUCCCUGCAGCAGUGCUGUAAGGAAGGGAGGAGACGUUUUCCAACCCCGGCAAGAGUGUUUACUUGUGUGCUAAGCAGGUGUUCAAAAUGGUAUCAAUUAGCCUAAAUGCUGAUUUUAAGUGUUCAAAUAGCUCUUAACUUUUAAAGGAGGGUGGUGUAUUUCGAGCUGACCUGUUUACCUGGAAUCCUCCUUUAGCUCAGCGACUCUCCUUGUGCACCCCCAGCCUCCGCUGGCAGGGCGGUAUGAGAAGCUGGAAGGUCCUUGACUUAGUAUAAACCCUGCUUAGCAACAACUAAAGCGUCGGUGUGUUGUCAACGUUAUUCUCGUCCUAAAUCCAAAAUGGCCCUGUACCAGCUACUCAGGAAGAAAAUUAACUUUAUUCCAGCCAAAACCAGGACAACCCCAAACCCCCCUGAUUCUGGGUCUGCAACAGGGAAAAAAAACAAACGAAUUUGGGACUCCUGGGAAAGCCAAAUCCGCCUGGAUCUGUGCAGCUGGAAAGGAAAAAAUCCCACCCCGUUUUCACGCGCAAAACCACAA
This is a long non-coding RNA of Aquila chrysaetos chrysaetos, 3192 nucleotides long. The record is from Ensembl. NCBI's taxonomy places the organism in Eukaryota, Metazoa, Chordata, Aves, Accipitriformes, Accipitridae.